GUGUCAGCAGCCGCGGUAACACGUAGGGGGCGAGCGUUGUCCGGAUUUAUUGGGCGUAAAGAGCUCGUAGGCGGUUCCGUCAGUCGGGUGUGAAAACUCUGGGCUCAACCCAGAGACGCCACCCGAUACUGCGGUGACUAGAGUCCGGUAGGGGAGUGCGGAAUUCCUGGUGUAGCGGUGAAAUGCGCAGAUAUCAGGAGGAACACCAACGGCGAAGGCAGCACUCUGGGCCGGUACUGACGCUGAGGAGCGAAAGCGUGGGGAGCGAACAGGAUUAGAAACCCGCGUAGUCC
RNAcentral lists this ribosomal RNA (293 nucleotides) under uncultured bacterium. Its description in RNAcentral is "partial 16S ribosomal RNA". It matches the Rfam family "Bacterial small subunit ribosomal RNA", at positions 505 to 796 of the family's 1533-position model. The record is from RNAcentral.